Pelobates cultripes (western spadefoot toad) is the source of this 330-nucleotide non-coding RNA. The record is from the annotation of a GenBank genome assembly. NCBI's taxonomy places the organism in Eukaryota, Metazoa, Chordata, Amphibia, Anura, Pelobatidae.
GUUUAUAAAAGAUGCAUGAAGGGAGAGAUGAUUCCUGAUGUUGGUGUGCUAGGCAUAAAGGUGCACAGAUCUACUUCAGGUCACAUGAUGCUAGUCUACAUAAGAAUUCAUGUCAUGUGAUUUUUAGCAUUGAUGACAUAUUGAUGCCUGUUGCUACAAAGUGGUGUGUGCUGUAAAAGUGCUAACCAAAAACAAAAUAAAAUUGAACCCCGAGGCUCCAGCAGCUCAGAGGAACCAAUAACAAUUGUUUAAGAAUUUCUUUAUAUUCAUUAAUAAAGUAACUACCAGAACCAAAUGAUCUGACCGGGCUAUUUGCUAAAGUGAGAAUUC